This 328-nucleotide unclassified non-coding RNA is filed under the name Hevea brasiliensis (rubber tree). The record is from RNAcentral. Lineage: Eukaryota; Viridiplantae; Streptophyta; Magnoliopsida; Malpighiales; Euphorbiaceae.
GAGAAAAAAAAAAUCCUUUUGUAUUAAUUGCUGCAGUCUCAUUCUCAUUGCUAAAAGAAAGGACCAUAAAUUUGAAUUAAUGAUGUAACAAUUCAAUUUCUUUGCAGUCGAAAAAACAAUCACCCUUUAAUUCCUUGAACUACAAUCAACGUGGAAAUUCGAACAAAUUACAUAUAAACCAAAUGCUCAAUUAUUUCAUGAGAACAAGCAAAAUAAGAGGAAGUAAAGGAGGAGGGAGCCGCAAGAGCAAACACAGAUAAACUUAUAAACCAAUUUAAAAAAUAAAAUAAAAAAGAGCACAGACCUUGAAACCAUAGCUGCAAUAGCU